Molecule: ribosomal RNA, 496 nt
Filed under: uncultured bacterium
Lineage: Bacteria
Description: partial 16S ribosomal RNA
Rfam family: Bacterial small subunit ribosomal RNA
Source: RNAcentral
AUGAACGCUGGCGGCGUGCCUAAUACAUGCAAGUCGAGCGAACAGACGAGGAGCUUGCUCCUCUGACGUUAGCGGCGGACGGGUGAGUAACACGUGGAUAACCUACCUAUAAGACUGGGAUAACUUCGGGAAACCGGAGCUAAUACCGGAUAAUAUAUUGAACCGCAUGGUUCAAUAGUGAAAGACGGUUUUGCUGUCACUUAUAGAUGGAUCCGCGCCGCAUUAGCUAGUUGGUAAGGUAACGGCUUACCAAGGCAACGAUGCGUAGCCGACCUGAGAGGGUGAUCGGCCACACUGGAACUGAGACACGGUCCAGACUCCUACGGGAGGCAGCAGUAGGGAAUCUUCCGCAAUGGGCGAAAGCCUGACGGAGCAACGCCGCGUGAGUGAUGAAGGUCUUCGGAUCGUAACACUCUGUUAUUAGGGAAGAACAAAUGUGUAAGUAACUAUGCACGUCUUGACGGUACCUAAUCAGAAAGCCACGGCUAACUACGUG